Molecule: ribosomal RNA, 835 nt
Filed under: Sarocladium terricola
Lineage: Eukaryota; Fungi; Ascomycota; Sordariomycetes; Hypocreales; Sarocladiaceae
Description: eukaryotic LSU rRNA
Rfam family: Eukaryotic large subunit ribosomal RNA
Source: RNAcentral
CCAACAGGGAUUGCCUCAGUAACGGCGAGUGAAGCGGCAACAGCUCAAAUUUGAAAUCUGGCCGCAAGGUCCGAGUUGUAAUUUGUAGAGGAUGCUUUUGGCGAGGUGACUUCCGAGUUCCCUGGAACGGGACGCCAUAGAGGGUGAGAGCCCCGUACGGUCGUGCCACCGAGCCUCUGUAAAGCUCCUUCGACGAGUCGAGUAGUUUGGGAAUGCUGCUCUAAAUGGGAGGUGUACGUCUUCUAAAGCUAAAUACCGGCCAGAGACCGAUAGCGCACAAGUAGAGUGAUCGAAAGAUGAAAAGCACUUUGAAAAGAGGGUUAAAAAGUACGUGAAAUUGUUGAAAGGGAAGCAUUCAUGACCAGACUUGGGCUUGGUUGAACAUCCGGCGUUCUCGCCGGUGCACUCUGCCAGCUCAGGCCAGCAUCAGUUUGCCCCGGGGGACAAAGGCGGCGGGAAUGUGGCUCCCUACGGGGAGUGUUAUAGCCCGUCGUGUAAUGCCCUGGGGUGGACUGAGGUUCGCGCUUCGGCACGGAUGCUGGCGUAAUGGUCAUCAAUGACCCGUCUUGAAACACGGACCAAGGAGUCGUCUUCGUAUGCGAGUGUUCGGGUGUCAAACCCCUACGCGUAAUGAAAGUGAACGUAGGUGAGAGCUUCGGCGCAUCACCGACCGAUCCUGAUGUUCUCGGAUGGAUUUGAGUAAGAGCAUACGGGGCCGGACCCGAAAGAAGGUGAACUAUGCCUGUAUAGGGUGAAGCCAGAGGAAACUCUGGUGGAGGCUCGCAGCGGUUCUGACGUGCAAAUCGAUCGUCAAAUAUGGGCAUGGGGGCGAAAG